RNAcentral lists this ribosomal RNA (489 nucleotides) under uncultured bacterium. Its description in RNAcentral is "bacterial SSU rRNA". It matches the Rfam family "Bacterial small subunit ribosomal RNA", at positions 29 to 509 of the family's 1533-position model. The record is from RNAcentral.
AACGAACGCUGGCGGCGUGCCUAACACAUGCAAGUCGAGCGCGAAAAGAGCAAUCUGAGUAGAGCGGCGCACGGGUGCGUAACACGUGGGUAAUCUGCCUCAAGGUCUGGGAUAACCUUCCGCAAGGUUGGCUAAUACCAGUUAAGCUCACGGUGACUUCGGUCGCUGAGAGAAAAGGGGCCCGAAAGGGUCUCGCCAUGAGGUGAGCCCGCGGCCCAUCAGCAGUUGGCGGGGUAACGGCCCACCAAGGCUACGACGGGUAGCUGGUCUGAGAGGACGAUCAGCCACACUGGAACUGAGACACGGUCCAGACUCCUACGGGAGGCAGCAGUGGGGAAUUUUGCACAAUGGGCGAAAGCCUGAUGCAGCAACGCCGCGUGUGUGAUGAAGGUCUUCGGAUCGUAAAGCACUUUCGACCGGACGAACAAGGCUGGCCACACCAGCCCCUCGACGGUACCGGGAGGAAGAAGCACCGGCUAACUCUGUGCC